Molecule: microRNA precursor, 59 nt
Filed under: Pongo abelii (Sumatran orangutan)
Lineage: Eukaryota; Metazoa; Chordata; Mammalia; Primates; Hominidae
Also listed under: 2 other names
Description: Pab-Mir-542_pre stem-loop
Rfam family: mir-542 microRNA precursor family
Source: RNAcentral
UCGGGGAUCAUCAUGUCACGAGAUACCAGUGUGCACUUGUGACAGAUUGAUAACUGAAA